UACCCUUGACAUGCCAGGAACCCUCCAGAGAUGGAGGGGUGCCCGAAAGGGAACCUGGACACAGGUGCUGCAUGGCUGUCGUCAGCUCGUGUCGUGAGAUGUUGGGUUAAGUCCCGCAACGAGCGCAACCCUCGUUCCAUGUUGCCAGCGGGUUAUGCCGGGGACUCAUGGGAGACUGCCGGUGACAAACCGGAGGAAGGUGGGGAUGACGUAGACCUUGGACC
RNAcentral lists this unclassified non-coding RNA (224 nucleotides) under uncultured Gammaproteobacteria bacterium. Its description in RNAcentral is "contains 16S-23S intergenic spacer region". It matches the Rfam family "Bacterial small subunit ribosomal RNA", at positions 980 to 1201 of the family's 1533-position model. The record is from RNAcentral. Lineage: Bacteria; Pseudomonadati; Pseudomonadota; Gammaproteobacteria.